UUUAAGUGCAACCAUGAGUUUCCGUGUCUAAUUUUGAUUAUCCGUCUUAUUUGAAAUUUUGUUAUAAUUAGUACUUUUAUUGUUAUGAGAUGAUAAAACAUGAAUAAUACUUUAUGUGUUACUUAUGUUUCUAAUUUUUUCAAAAAAUUUUCAAACAAGACGAACGAUCAAAAUUGGUUACGGAAAAUCAUGGCUUCACUUAAA
Molecule: non-coding RNA, 204 nt
Organism: Oryza meridionalis
Lineage: Eukaryota; Viridiplantae; Streptophyta; Magnoliopsida; Poales; Poaceae
Source: Rfam